AAAAAGCUCGUAGUUGGAUUUCUGUGUGAGAGGGACGGGAAGGCGCAAGCGUUUUUUCUGACCUUUUGCACAUCCUGUCGCAAACCACGGUGCUCUUUACUGUAGUGUCGCUGGGGAUCGACUCGUUUACUUUGAGAAAAAUAGAGUGUUCAAAGCAGGGUAUGCCUCUGAAUAAGUUAGCAUGGAAUAAUGAUAAAGGACUUCGGUUCAUUUUGUUGGUGUUUGGGACUGAAGUAAUGAUUGAUAGGGACAGUUGGGGGCAUCAGUAUUCAAAAGCGAGAGGUGAAAUUCUUAGACCUUUUGAAGACUAACCGCUGCGAAAGCGUUUGCCAAGGAUGUUCCCUUUGAUCAAGAACUAAAGUUUGGGGAUCGAAGACGAUCAGAUACCGUCGUAGUCUGAACUAUAAACUAUACCAGCUAGGGAUCGGCCGGCGUAAUAUUUAAGGACUCGGUCGGCACCUUAUGAGAAAUUAAAGCAUUUGGGUUCCGGGGGGAGUAUGGUCGCAAGGCUGAAACUUAAAGGAAUUGACGGAAGGGCACCACCAGGUGUGGAGCCUGUGGCUUAAUUUGACUC
RNAcentral lists this ribosomal RNA (574 nucleotides) under uncultured marine eukaryote. RNAcentral's name for it is "SSU rRNA". It matches the Rfam family "Eukaryotic small subunit ribosomal RNA", at positions 621 to 1201 of the family's 1831-position model. The record is from RNAcentral.